Molecule: RNA transcript, 985 nt
Organism: Triticum aestivum (bread wheat)
Lineage: Eukaryota; Viridiplantae; Streptophyta; Magnoliopsida; Poales; Poaceae
Gene name: non-specific lipid transfer protein GPI-anchored 23-like
Exons: 3
Source: RefSeq, a predicted model, not a curated record
CAAACCAUAAGACAUUCGUGGCACCAUUCACAUCUGGCCAGCAAGCACAAACCAAGAAAGAGACCGACCCAUGGCGCACCCCAAGUCCCAUCUCGCCUGCUUGUUCCUCGCCCUCGCCCUCGCCGUCCUGACCGCCGCCGCGUCGGAGCCUUUGCUUUCGGCGGCCGUGACAGCCAGGGCGCCCGCUCCCUCCCCCAACGGCGACUUGGUAGCGAAACCAUCGGCAUGGGGAUGGACAUGGUGCAUCAUCCCCUGCUUUCCGUUUAUACCAGAGAUAUUUUGCAUACCACCAAUAUUCUGUCCACGGACGCCGCAACCACCGCCGCCAUCACCGCCUCCCCCGCCCCCAUUGAAGCCUCAGCCGAAGGAGUGCCGGACGCCGCUGAUGGGGCUGAUGCCGUGCAAGGAUUUCCUCACCAGCAGCACCGCGCCGGAGCCUCCGAACCAGGGCAAGUGCUGCGACGGCCUCAGGUCGCUCGUCCAAGACGCUCCCAUCUGCCUUUGCCGCAUACUGGAGGGCACCGAUCUCGACAAGCUCAUGUCGGCGACCGUGGAUAGAGAGAAAUUCAUUCGUACGAUGAUCAUCUGCGACUCGAGUCCGGGUGAAUUUGGUUCUUGUGAAGGACCCGUGCCACCGAUGACGAUGAGGGCCGCACCUACACCUAAAGCUGCUCCAUAAUCGGGCAGAUCAGGUAGCCAGUUUUAUUUCCGGAUAAAUUGAUCCAAUUUUCUGUGCCCAUUUAUGCAUGCAUCGCUGCAUCAACUAGAGCCAUCGUCGUCAUUCGUAGCAGCAUUACAGAAACAAGAUGCAUGCAUGGAAGCUGAAGAUGCCAUACGUCAAGAUCCGUUAGGAUCAUUCUUAGAAGAGAUAGUGCUAGUUCUUAGUUCGAUUUAGGGAGAAUGUGUAGCUUCAUUUGUGAGAAAACAAAUUAUUUGUCACCGUCCAACUGUUUGUUUCUUUAUAAAUGUGUGCAACCGUUGUUUA